AUCGAUGGCACGCCACGCUGACGGCGCCCGAUCUCGUCUGAUCUUGGAAGCAAAGCAGGGUGGGGCCUGCUUAGUACUUGGACAGGAGAAGGGCCCCUGGCAGGGCGGGAGUCCGUGGAUG
RNAcentral lists this ribosomal RNA (121 nucleotides) under Capra hircus (goat). The record is from RNAcentral. Lineage: Eukaryota; Metazoa; Chordata; Mammalia; Artiodactyla; Bovidae.